RNAcentral lists this ribosomal RNA (592 nucleotides) under Macrophthalmus aff. japonicus. RNAcentral describes it as "partial 16S ribosomal RNA". Lineage: Eukaryota; Metazoa; Arthropoda; Malacostraca; Decapoda; Macrophthalmidae. The record is from RNAcentral.
UGUAAAUAGCUUGUUAAAAAUGAUAUAGGUAAAAGGAGGAAAGAAAAAUAAUUUUAAAGAAAAAUUGUGUUAGUAAUUUUUAAUGAAAGUAGGAUAAAGACUAGAGAGAAAAGUACUGUGAAGGAAAGCAAUAAGACUUAGUAUAGGAAAAGUAAACUUUUGUGCCUUGUGUAUCAGAAAAAAUUUAUAUAAUUUAGUCAGUCUAAAGGUCUCGAAAUAAAAUAUAGUAAUUUUUAUAAAAUUUUCUUUUUAGAAAAAAAGAAUUUAAUGUAAAAUUUAAAGUGAAACGCUAGUUGAGUUUUAUUAUAUCUAGUUUUUUUAAAAAUAAAUUGAAUUUAUUUUUUAUAGCUAUAAGAUAUAAAAUUUAAUGGCAAGAGGGAACAGCUUCUUGUGUAAAAUGUUGUAAAAUAGUUAAGUAAUAGGAUAUUUUAUAGAUUAGGCUUAAAAGUAGCCAUAUUUAAAAAGUGUUUUAACUAAAUUAUGGUUAAAAAAUAUUUAGGGUAACUUUUUCAAUGUAUAAAAAAAUUAUUUGAAAUGUAAAAGAAUAAAAUAUAAUGAUUUUAUUAGUAAAAUUUGCUAUGAAAAUGAGUGU